AUGCCAUGGACGAUCCCUUCAUUACACCUAGGACCACUGCCUUACGGCUUCUCCGUAAGCAUUACAUCUUCGGAUUCCCCGAGGGCCAAAGAGAACACGGGACCGGAAGCGCUGACUCCCCCCGUGGUAUUUCCAGGGGCGGAGGAAGAUGGCGAAAUCCAUUGGGUAGUGGGAUCAGAAGAGGGCGGUUCACUCGGCCUGUGUCUGGGGCACUAUGGGUAUUGUAGUUCAGGGCUCCGCGGUCCUGCUUGCGGCGAGGAAUCUUGGAAGCCAGUGGGUCCAAGCUGGUCAGGGAAGCGCCUUGCACUGGGGCAUCAGGUGUGGAGUGGCUGCAGGGGCGUGUCUUCGUUCUGCUAUUUCUCUUUCGGGCCCUGGAAUUCUUCUCUGUCCUUCUUUCUCCCAAUGCCCUUUCCCUUAAUUCUUACCUUACUAUAG
This 435-nucleotide long non-coding RNA is filed under the name Capra hircus (goat). Its description in RNAcentral is "lncRNA (ENSCHIG00010005330.1)". Lineage: Eukaryota; Metazoa; Chordata; Mammalia; Artiodactyla; Bovidae. The record is from RNAcentral.